RNAcentral lists this ribosomal RNA (273 nucleotides) under uncultured bacterium. Its description in RNAcentral is "partial 16S ribosomal RNA". It matches the Rfam family "Bacterial small subunit ribosomal RNA", at positions 524 to 795 of the family's 1533-position model. The record is from RNAcentral.
UACGUAGGGUGCGAGCGUUGUCCGGAAUUACUGGGCGUAAAGAGCUCGUAGGUGGUUUGUCGCGUUGUCCGUGAAAACUCACAACUCAAUUGUGGGCGUGCGGGCGAUACGGGCGGACUGGAGUACUGCAGGGGAGACUGGAAUUCCUGGUGUAGCGGUGGAAUGCGCAGAUAUCAGGAGGAACACCGGUGGCGAAGGCGGGUCUCUGGGCAGUAACUGACGCUGAGGAGCGAAAGCGUGGGGAGCGAACAGGAUUAGAACCGUACGCGAGAC